This 441-nucleotide ribosomal RNA is filed under the name uncultured bacterium. RNAcentral's name for it is "partial 16S ribosomal RNA". It matches the Rfam family "Bacterial small subunit ribosomal RNA", at positions 338 to 795 of the family's 1533-position model. The record is from RNAcentral.
CCUACGGGAGGCAGCAGUCGGGAAUAUUGCGCAAUGGAGGAAACUCUGACGCAGUGACGCCGCGUGCAGGAAGAAGGUUUUCGGAUUGUAAACUGCUUUAGACAGGGAAGCAACACGACAGUACCUGUACACUACGCUCCGGCUAACUACGUGCCAGCACCCGCGGUAAUACGUAGGGAGCAAGCGUUAUCCGGAUUUAUUGGGUGUAAAGGGUGCGUAGACGGGAAGUCAAGUUGGUUGUGAAAUCCCUCGGCUUAACUGAGGAACUGCAACCAAAACUAACUUUCUUGAGUGCUGGAGAGGAAAGUGGAAUUCCUAGUGUAGCGGUGAAAUGCGUAGAUAUUAGGAGGAACACCAGUGGCGAAGGCGACUUGCUGGACAGUAACUGACGUUGAGGCACGAAAGUGUGGGGAGCGAACAGGAUUAGAUACCCUUGUAGUC